CCGGCAGAUUCUUUCCAACCUCGAAUUCUUCUCAGCUUGCUUCGGCAACUUGGUGGGCGGUGGGCGCGGGUGGCGGAGGCGAUUGAAGCUGCUGGCCCAGCAUGUGGUGCACGAGCCCAGUUGCUGUGGUGGCCUUUUGCACCGGGCUUUGGGUCUCUCACCCGGUGCUGACGCAGGGCCAGGAGGCCGGGGGACGGCCGGGGGCUGACUGUGAAGGUGAGCGGUGUGACACCUGCUUGCAUGGCGGCGGCCCCGCGCUGCAGCGCAGCAGCUGUUGGCUUUGGCUUCUCCUGGCCCUGGCUAUAAAUAACAUUUCGCCCAGGAAAUGCAGGCCCUGUCCCUCGUUUUAGAUCGCCCAAGCCCAGCUCGAGUAGAAGCUCAAGCCGGGCCUGGUGGCAACGUGAGGCCACGUUGUAGUUUUGCUGUGAAUAUUAAACUUCAGCAGUAAAAGCUGGUGGGUUUGUAUGUGGAUUAGAGUUUGUGCAAAGACUGCUAGAUUCAGAUGAUACUGGCGCCAGAUUGAUUCUGCUGCUUCCAACCAGCAAGAUUUGCCUCCCCUUGCACAGAAGACGUCUUUCGAGUCCAAGCUAGUUGGUGACUCCGAAAAGGAAAACAAAACAUGGCAUUGAGUUGAGUGGCUUAAAUCAGAAGACAUAGCUAAUAUUUGUUAGGACUCUAUAGGUGAAAGUUGCUUUGCAAAGGAGUACACUGACUCCUUGGGAAAGAGAGGAAUACAAAAGAGUGAUUCCUUUUUGUUCACGGUAUCUCAGCUGUGAACUCGCAGUCAGAAUACGUGAGUCUGUAUCCCACCAAGUACCCUAGCUCUGAGACUUUGGUUUUUGCAAAAUCAGCAUACUUCACUUUAGAGAUCUGUUAGCAAAGGCAAAGAAGGUAAAGAAGCUGUGUAAUCGCAGAGGAAGGACAUAACAGUUUGUAUGUAAAGAAUUCUUGAACCGAUUCUACAAGUCAUUGAUAGACAGAGGAGUUAACUUUUCGCUGAACACUAUAGAGAAAGAAUUGAUCAGCUUUUGCUUGGACACCAAAGGAAAAGAAAACCGCCUGUGCUAUUAUCUAGGAGCCACAAAAGACGCAGCCACAAAGAUCCUAAGUGAAGUCACGCGCCCAAUGAGUGUGCAUGUGCCUGCAAUGAAGAUUUGUGAGAAGCUGAAGAAGUUGGAUAGCCAGAUCUGUGAGCUGAAAUAUGAAAAAACAUUGGACUUGGCAUCAGUUGACCUGCAGAAGAUGAGAGUGGCAGAGCUGAAGCAGAUCCUGCAUAGCUGGGGGGAGGAGUGCAGGGCCUGUGCAGAAAAAACUGACUAUGUGAAUCUCAUCCAAGAGCUGGCCCCCAAGUAUGCAGCAACACACCCCAAAACAGAGCUCUGAUCUCCAACACCAGCACAUUUGUGACUUGUAAUUAGAGAGAAAAAUGACUCUCUAGGAUAUGGACAUGUUGAUUAAGGAUAACUGGGAAUGCAUCAUAUUUGGUCUCAUGCUUUUUGUGUUGGUAUUAUUCCUCAGAAUUUUGUUACGUGGGUUUAUGAGUAACACUAAUACUACUGAUAACUUACAUUUGCAAUGUACCAAAAGCUAAAAGUUCCUUUCUCAUAAGUUUCUUGGAAUAACUAUGUCAGUUUUCAUUGCCUGUCUCCUAAAAGUGACCUACUGACAAAUUGAUGGAGUAAAUUGAUUCCAAGAAAGAAGAAGGCAUCCAGAGACUCCUCUCUGGAUGCAAUUUUAGAAUAUAUUGGACUACAACAAAAGACACAACAGUCAGCUUAUCUAAUGCACAACUUCAAUCCCAAAUACAGAAUCAAAAGUUUUUUUAAAGUAAAUUUUCUGUUUUCACUCUACAUUGUAGCUCUCUUUGGUAUCAGAAAUGGUCAGGCAGGAGUACUCGUUUUUCCCAUUGGAAGAAAACCCACUUAAACCUACUUAAAGAAAAUAGAGAGAUCAAGAAACUGUAUAAGUAUAGCCAAUGUUUGGCAAUUAUAUCAACAUUUAUAUUGUUAAUUGAACCAAGCUCAAGGUCUUUUUCAUUCCUUACAGUCACAUAUCAGACAAGUUUUUGAUAGAAGAUUAAAGCAUAUUAAAAACACUCAUAGGCAACUUGGAACUUUACCAUUCUUAAUGCUCUUUUAUCAGCUUUCAGUUGUAAAAUCAUUUUUGGUUCCAUUUUCUGGCCACAUAAGAAUAAGAAAUCCACAGUAGAAGUGGCUGCCUCUGUGUGGCAGGUACAGCUGGGGAAUAA
Molecule: RNA transcript, 2248 nt
Organism: Nomascus leucogenys (northern white-cheeked gibbon)
Lineage: Eukaryota; Metazoa; Chordata; Mammalia; Primates; Hylobatidae
Gene: CDNF
Gene name: cerebral dopamine neurotrophic factor
Exons: 5
Source: RefSeq, a predicted model, not a curated record